RNAcentral lists this ribosomal RNA (402 nucleotides) under uncultured bacterium. Its description in RNAcentral is "bacterial SSU rRNA". It matches the Rfam family "Bacterial small subunit ribosomal RNA", at positions 355 to 774 of the family's 1533-position model. The record is from RNAcentral.
UGGGGAAUAUUGGACAAUGGGCGCAAGCCUGAUCCAGCCAUGCCGCGUGGAUGAUGAAGGCCCUAGGGUUGUAAAGUCCUUUCGGCGGGGAAGAUAAUGACGGUACCCGCAGAAGAAGCCCCGGCUAACUUCGUGCCAGCAGCCGCGGUAAUACGAAGGGGGCUAGCGUUGCUCGGAAUCACUGGGCGUAAAGCGCACGUAGGCGGCUUUCUAAGUCGGUGGUGAAAUCCUGGAGCUCAACUCCAGAACUGCCUCCGAUACUGGAGAGGUCGAGUCCGGGAGAGGUGAGUGGAACUGCGAGUGUAGAGGUGAAAUUCGUAGAUAUUCGCAAGAACACCAGUGGCGAAGGCGGCUCACUGGCCCGGUACUGACGCUGAGGUGCGAAAGCGUGGGGAGCAAACA